Molecule: transfer RNA, 73 nt
Filed under: Paramuricea clavata
Lineage: Eukaryota; Metazoa; Cnidaria; Anthozoa; Malacalcyonacea; Plexauridae
Rfam family: tRNA
About the family: Transfer RNA (tRNA) molecules are approximately 80 nucleotides in length. Their secondary structure includes four short double-helical elements and three loops (D, anti-codon, and T loops). Further hydrogen bonds mediate the characteristic L-shaped molecular structure. tRNAs have two regions of fundamental functional importance: the anti-codon, which is responsible for specific mRNA codon recognition, and the 3' end, to which the tRNAs corresponding amino acid is attached (by aminoacyl-tRNA synthetases). tRNAs cope with the degeneracy of the genetic code in two manners: having more than one tRNA (with a specific anti-codon) for a particular amino acid; and 'wobble' base-pairing, i.e. permitting non-standard base-pairing at the 3rd anti-codon position.
Source: Rfam by way of RNAcentral
GACCGCGUAGCUCAGUUGGAAGAGCAUUGGGCUAGCAUUCCAAAGGUCGUAGGUUCGAAUCCCACCAUGGCCG